Micropterus dolomieu (smallmouth bass) is the source of this 751-nucleotide long non-coding RNA. RefSeq lists it as uncharacterized. The record is from RefSeq and is a predicted model, not a curated record. The transcript has 3 exons. NCBI's taxonomy places the organism in Eukaryota, Metazoa, Chordata, Actinopteri, Centrarchiformes, Centrarchidae.
ACGGAAGGGGGCCAGGGCGGCAGUUGGAGGGAACCUGAUUUCCUGAUGACCACGAGGAGGUCCGGCGUCUUGGGGGAGGGGAGUCUUCAUCUGUGAGGAACCGCACUGACUUUGACGGCUAGGGGAGUAAAACAUUUACUGUAAGGCACAUGCAGAGUAGUGAUCACAAGAACAGUUGAAGAACAAUGCACAAAGCCAAAAAUGUGAGCUUUUGUCUCUCGCGAGAAAUCAUCUGAAUGACAUUACCUUGUCUGUAUUGUUCUUGUGUGAGUCUGGUCUGACUAGGAUUGAGUGAGGCCCAUUGGAAGGCUGUCUGUCAUGCUGAAAUGUUGCCUCAUGUGAAGCAGUGAAGUUCUUGUCCUUAAAGACUGCAGCAGCAGAGGGCACUGCUGGCUCAGUCAUCCAGCCCAGUGUUCUGCCAGAGCUGGACUGGCUGCUAUUUUUCUUCCUCUGCAGGGCAGUUGGUGGGAAGCAACAGUGGAGCCAGAGAUUCAUCUCCUCGGGGUUAAAGUCAUACAGCCCCCUGCAGAAAGUCGGAGGUUGGGACUGCUGGAGGGGCUGCACCUGAGAGGUCUGGCUGACGGCCUGCAGCGUGCUGGCAGUGCCAGGCACACCGCCACUGGCAGCUUCAUUUCCAUGUUGCCAGUUCUCAUCCACUUUGUGUUUCGAGGUGAUACCAUUACCUGGCGUGAGGACCAUCUCUCCUGACGAAUCAUCUCGUUGGUUACGCAUCAAAGGUCUGAGAGCAAGC